AUGCUCCGAGAUGAAAACAUUCUUACUUCUCAAUCCAAAGAAGGAAGAUCAAAGCUCUACUUACUUGUACCCGCCAGGCUUCACGUACCGCGCUCUCGCCAAUUAUGCAAGUCCACCGUAGCAGCUGAGAGAGUUCUCUUGCCGCGUGCUCAACAUUACACCGGUACGCCAAUAAGGAGGAGAGAGGGAGAAAUAGUAUGGGUUUCUCUGACGCUGUGCAAUGGUGGGAUGAGUGGCAGCCCUGCGGAGAUUGUUCUUCACCAACACCGUCAUCACGCCGUCGUGCUGCCGGAACUCAUCUACUACAUCGCCGUCUUGCUGGAUCAAGAAGGCGAGGACGUCAUCAAGCUGAACGUGUGCUGA
Molecule: ribosomal RNA, 363 nt
Filed under: Triticum aestivum (bread wheat)
Lineage: Eukaryota; Viridiplantae; Streptophyta; Magnoliopsida; Poales; Poaceae
Description: partial small subunit ribosomal RNA
Source: RNAcentral